RNAcentral lists this ribosomal RNA (245 nucleotides) under uncultured Lactobacillus sp. RNAcentral's name for it is "partial 16S ribosomal RNA". It matches the Rfam family "Bacterial small subunit ribosomal RNA", at positions 118 to 355 of the family's 1533-position model. Lineage: Bacteria; Bacillati; Bacillota; Bacilli; Lactobacillales; Lactobacillaceae. The record is from RNAcentral.
UGGGGAACCUGCCCCAUAGUCUGGGAUACCACUUGGAAACAGGUGCUAAUACCGGAUAAGAAAGCAGAUCGCAUGAUCAGCUUUUAAAAGGCGGCGUAAGCUGUCGCUAUGGGAUGGCCCCGCGGUGCAUUAGCUAGUUGGUAAGGUAAAGGCUUACCAAGGCGAUGAUGCAUAGCCGAGUUGAGAGACUGAUCGGCCACAUUGGGACUGAGACACGGCCCAAACUCCUACGGGAGGCAGCAGUA